This is a long non-coding RNA of Dioscorea cayenensis subsp. rotundata (Guinea yam), 785 nucleotides long. RefSeq lists it as uncharacterized. NCBI's taxonomy places the organism in Eukaryota, Viridiplantae, Streptophyta, Magnoliopsida, Dioscoreales, Dioscoreaceae. The record is from RefSeq and is a predicted model, not a curated record. The transcript is spliced from 3 exons.
CGUAAUCAACUUAUACACGUGGCUUAAUUGGCUGCCACGUCAUCAUCCCUUCCCUUCCACCCCUCCCUUUUCUUCAUCCUUUUCCCUCCCGAUCACCAACGGCUGCCAGCCACUACACCAAUGGAUCAAUAGAAGACGACAACAAAGGAAGCAUUAAUUGCGCUGUUGGCUCUCGCAAGACAGGCCAAUCUCUGAUGGAUGCUCGAUGGACUCAGAAGUGGAACCAAGCCUUCUUUUUCAUCUACGUCGUUGGUCUCAACGUUGACCCUCUAUUCUUUUACUCUUUGUCCAUCAGUGAGGCUCGCAUGUGCCUCUAUGUCGAUGGAUGGUUCUCCAUUACGAUCACUGCACUCCAGGGGCGGCUCAAGGCUUUUAUAAGCCUUGAGCCGCCCCUGCUGCACUCCAGUGCAUGAUGGACACAGUGCACCUCUGGAACAUGUGGCUUUGUGUGAGGUCCACCAUCCGAAUGAGGCACCUCGAUGGGGAUGAAGGAAGUCGGCUUGGCCGUGGUCACCAUCACUACUUGGUAUCCGUGAGAGACUUCUUUGAUCUCUUCAUCAUCCCCCUUGAGCCCCAGUUCAAUUCAGCAUGCGAGGUUUACGAAAAUAGGACAAUGGCCCUCGUGCGAUCACAACCACCUUCACCUCCAAGGAGCUUUGUAGGUAUUUGUCCCUGAGUGCACGUCUGAUGGAGAGAGAUAGAGGGAGAGAAAGUUGUGUUCAAUUGCCAGAAUGGGAAAGGGAUGAAGGAAAGGAAAGGGAGGAGGGAAAGGGAUGAUGAUGUAG